UACGACGGGUGCUAGCGUUGUUCGGAAUUACUGGGCGUAAAGCGCGCGCAGGUGGAUUUAUAAGUCAGGGGUGAAAUCCCGGGGCUCAACCUCGGAAUUGCCUUUGAUACUGUCUAUCUUGAGGCCGGGAGAGGUGAGUGGAAUUCCUAGUGUAGAGGUGAAAUUCGUAGAUAUUAGGAAGAACACCAGUGGCGAAGGCGGCUCUCUGGCCCGGUCCUGACGCUCAUGUGCGAAAGCGUGGGGGGCAAACAGG
Molecule: ribosomal RNA, 253 nt
Filed under: uncultured bacterium
Lineage: Bacteria
Description: partial 16S ribosomal RNA
Rfam family: Bacterial small subunit ribosomal RNA
Source: RNAcentral